CGUGUAGGCGGAGAUGCAAGUCAGGAGUGAAAUCCCGGGGCUCAACCCCGGAACUGCUUUUGAAACUGUAUCCCUUGAGUGUCGGAGAGGCAAGCGGAAUUCCUAGUGUAGCGGUGAAAUGCGUAGAUAUUAGGAGGAACACCAGUGGCGAAGGCGGCUUGCUGGACGAUAACUGACGCUGAGGCGCGAAAGCGUGGGGAGCAAACA
RNAcentral lists this ribosomal RNA (207 nucleotides) under uncultured bacterium. RNAcentral describes it as "partial 16S ribosomal RNA". It matches the Rfam family "Bacterial small subunit ribosomal RNA", at positions 568 to 774 of the family's 1533-position model. The record is from RNAcentral.